This 253-nucleotide ribosomal RNA is filed under the name uncultured bacterium. RNAcentral describes it as "partial 16S ribosomal RNA". It matches the Rfam family "Bacterial small subunit ribosomal RNA", at positions 524 to 776 of the family's 1533-position model. The record is from RNAcentral.
UACGUAGGGAGCAAGCGUUGUCCGGAAUUACUGGGCGUAAAGAGCUCGUAGGCGGUUUGUCGCGUCGUCUGUGAAAACCAGCAGCUCAACUGCUGGCUUGCAGGCGAUACGGGCAGACUUGAGUACUGCAGGGGAGACUGGAAUUCCUGGUGUAGCGGUGAAAUGCGCAGAUAUCAGGAGGAACACCGGUGGCGAAGGCGGGUCUCUGGGCAGUAACUGACGCUGAGGAGCGAAAGCGUGGGUAGCGAACAGG